This 2458-nucleotide long non-coding RNA is filed under the name Malus domestica (apple). RNAcentral describes it as "long non-coding RNA (MDOM_LNC012143)". The record is from RNAcentral. Lineage: Eukaryota; Viridiplantae; Streptophyta; Magnoliopsida; Rosales; Rosaceae.
GAGCCUAAAUGUUUAUUUGGAGAGUUAAUAAUCUGUGCACCAUUGUUUUCUAAAGUCGCUGCAUGAUCUCAUUAUUCUUUGCUUGCUUGCUACUUAGAAUGCGUUUCAUCAUUUAGUUCGAAAUGCUAGAACUCAUGCCUAUUUCAUUCAAAGCAUGCUAUUGAUUUGCAUAACACAUAUUCAAGAUGAAGUUGUGUAGUGACCACCAAAGCCAAAUUGCCGUGCACCUAUUUCAUUAUGUGUUUAAGUUUAACCCCGUUGAACCUUGUUAAGCCUAUGUUCUUUGUUAAUCCACACUAUCCUUACCUAGCCUAGUUUUAGGACCAUCCAUACCCUUAUUCUUGAAGCAUAGUAAAGCAUGACUUAAAAUGAACUCCUUUUUUUAUCAAUGUAUUGCAGAAAGCAAGUGUGGGGGAAGUGAUUCUAUGUAUGUGUGUGUGCCAAAGUCCUUAAUAAGGCAUGGGUAAAAAUAAAAAAAAGAAUUGAAAAAAAAAGUAUGAAAAAGAGCUCUAAAGUGUUGUUUGUUAAAGAAAGGGUUCAAAACAUUGAAUUCGGCCCUAAGUGUUGCAUGAAUCUUCCCUUUGCAUUUAAAAGUUGCUACCGCUUUAAGAACGUUUGUUAUCCCCAUCCUUUCUUUGUUAGCCAUUACCCCCAAGCCCUGUUACAACCCUUGACUUCAAUCUUGAGUGUUGUGUGCUUCAAUUUGUGGAGUUCGAAAUUGGUAUGAGCAUAUGGUGUCACUGGCUCUCACAUCUAAGUAGUAGCAUUCCAUUCAUAAGAUCAUAUCUAAACAUGCUUAAUAAAUCCAGAAAAUUGCUUUCUUUGUUAUAGCAUAUGUGAGUCCUAGUCUUUCAUGUUUACAUCAAUCUUCUCACAUAUACUAGUGUAGGGUGUGUAGUCAGAAAAUGUGUGUGAAAAUAGAGAGUAUCUUGUAAGGAAUUGAGCAAAUUCUCUAAGGCAUGUUACUACAUUCAAAACAUUGUUUUAAUUGGUUAAUUGUGAACUAGUAAGUGGUGACUGUGAUUAAGUAUGUGCUCAAGCGUAAAGAUGACCAAAAUCUGUGGGAAUGAUGAUUUUUAACAUGUUAUGUUUCAUUAAAAAUCCCUGAGGCAAAUGUUGGAAGAUCUAGGUUGUGUUUUGUUUGUUUCGUUUGUUUUGUUUUGCUCGAGGACUAGCAAAAGCUAAGUGUGGGGGAAUUUGAUAGGAACAUAUUUAUGCGACUGAGUAGCUUGUUCUCAUGCAUUUAUGUUGUUAUUUCUUAGUUAAUUAUGUAUUUUAAGCUAUUUUCGUGUGUUUGUAGGUCCAUAGGCCUUAUAAAGCAAUAAGAUGCAUUUUGGUGCAUUUUGGAGCAGUUUUGGGCUUGGAAUGAAUAACACAUGCAUGGAGCAAGGUGGAUGGGCGAAAUUGAAGACUAAAGAGGCUAGGAAUGUGCUAAAGAGAAAGAAGAAUUAAUGUAAAAAGGACAAAGAGCUCAGCCACAAAGAGGUGUCACUCCACCAUUCACAUUUCCAUCAUUGCCGUGCACCACCAUUGCACUCCCUUUGGAUUCCUAUGCCGUGCAUCAUCAUCCAUGUUCCCUCCAUUGACUCAUUUGUUGCAUCAUUCCACUUCCUUUCCUUUGUCUACCAUGUGCACAAUAUCCUUUCACCUCCUUGCACUUAUUGAUUCACCACUUACUCACCUUUCCACCCAUGCCAUGCAUAAUCACCCUUGUCCCCUUUAUGCACCAGAUUUCUUGCACUCAUUUCAUGCACCAUUACACUCAUUACACUUCAUUGCCGUGCACCACCCUUGUCUCCUUCAUUAUUUCUGAUUUCAUGCAUCAAUACAUUGAAUCAUUACACUCAAUUGCUGCACACUCCUUGUUCCCUUCACCCAUCAGAUUUCAUACAACUUUUACCUCCACUACAUACACUCAUUGAUGCACCAUCCACCACCUUUGGAAUCCCAUGUCGUGCAUCAUGACAUUUGCGGCACCUUUGACUCAUUUCUGCACCAUUCCACCUCCCUUUCCUUUCUAUACCAUGUGCACAAUCAUUCAUGUUUCCUAGCUGCAACACCAUUCCAUUUUACCCCCCAUGCUUUACAUCAUCACUUCACUUUCACCUUUGAAUCAUUUUAACACCACUCCUUGCACUCAUUGCUGCAACACCACUCCAUUUUACCCCCAUGCUUUGCAUCAUUACUUCAUUUUCACCCUUAAUCAUUGCACACACCACCAAUUCACCUUCCUUGUCGUGCACUUCCUCUAUAAAAGGAAGUGUGUGUGGCAGCCAUAGAGUUUAGUUUUGGCUUGAUCAUUCAUCCCCAUUUCAAUACAACCUUCAUCCAAACACAUCAAUUCAUCUUCACAUCCAUUUCUCCAUACAAACAAACCUUCAAACACUCACCAACACCUUGUGCCGUAGCAAAGGAAGGGGAAGGAAAGUGCUUGGACGUGCUUGCUGUCCAACUUGGA